RNAcentral lists this long non-coding RNA (1441 nucleotides) under Anas platyrhynchos platyrhynchos (common mallard). Its description in RNAcentral is "lncRNA (ENSAPLG00000017173.1)". The record is from RNAcentral. Lineage: Eukaryota; Metazoa; Chordata; Aves; Anseriformes; Anatidae.
AAUUAAUCUACAUGAGGUGUCCUCUACUCACAAACAUAGCUUUUGAUUAUUUACAUAGUGACAAGGGAGAUAAUUACAAGAUGAAAUACAUGUGUUAACUGGUACAAUUUUGUUUUCUUACACAGAAGGAAUAUGCUCAGCAAACUAUGACAAAUUAGCAUUGUAGCAAUAGGGACGUUUGCAGUAAAGCUAAAAAUGAGCCGUUAACUCCAAACUAACAACCUUUAAGAUUCACCAUUGUUAAUCUCAGAAGUUGCUUGUAGUGCACAUCUGGAUGAAGCCACGUUUGGCUGGGAGGGGAAGGUGGGUUUUAGGCAUACAACUGUGGCUGUGUUGUGUCAAUAAAGGACAAUAUUGUUUGCUAUUGAUGGACUUUGAGUUCCCUCCCGCCUGUGCUUAGCACCAGCAGUGAACAGCUAGUGGCAGCUGUUGAAGUUGCUAGGUUCACUGCUCCCGUUACUGUUCUCAAGGACAAAGCACACACAGCUGAGCUGGAAGAUGGCUGUGUUAUAGCUGGACACCACCUGAAACUAAUAAAUGAAGGAGGGAAAGGGGAGAAGAUUCUAGACAUAUUACUGCCAGCUGCUCCAUUCCUGUUUUAUCUGAGUGUCGGAUGCAUGUGGGAUCGUUCCACCAAUCACGCAUGUCAGUUGAGUGAUGCAGGAGUACAUUAUGAGGUUCUCUCAGACCUGGUACCUGGACUAUAAAGGGAAGAAAAUCUUCUGUUCUGGUAAGGUAUCUUGGCACAUGUUCUUCAAAAACCCAUUCCAUCCUUCUGCAUUGCAAUCAUUUGGCAUGUAAGUAUGUUCAACGUCUGAUAUAUUCUGAGUGAGUGGCUGGAAAUGAAUAGAGAGGUGAUGAUGGCUAAAGUGGGCUUGACAUUUGUUGAAGAAUUCCAGACCCAUGGAUUUAGAGACCUGAAUCAACCUAUAAUUUGCUAAAUUAUCUGGUUGUUUGCCUUUUAAUACUGUAGUGAUUUCUCAUUGCGUAUUAGCAACUGUACAUUUUUAUGGAAAGUUACAAACUGUAUCCUUAAGGAAUAAGAAACAAUAUCUGAUAUUGAAGGCUCAAGUACUUUAGAAACAGACAAAAAUUUCCAUAGAUUUUCAUGUUUUUGGGCCAGACAAUGAGUUUUAAGGAAUGGAAUUUAUCUGACAGCUUCAUCAAGAUUAUCUGAGGUGGUGGUUAUUGUAGAUGGCAUGAUUUAUACUCAACAUUAUAUAGGCUUACUCUGUUCCUAAAAUCAUAUACUCUUCUGCUUAGUACAUGAAUAUUACAAAAAAAAAAAAAUAAGUAAACUACACUUCUAUUCAAACCUGUUGCUGUAUUCUGGUGAGGCACAGUAGUUUAGAAAGUAUUUAGAGUGUUCUUGGAAAUGAGUUUCGUCUUAUGACUUAUACAAUUUUUCUGGUACUGAUGUUCAAAAAGCAUUUCUAUAAUC